ACAAGUCCAAGAUUAUGCUUGUAGUCUAAGAAAGUUGUUAAGGCUUAUAAAAUCCUCAAAGUUAAUCAUAUUUGAACCAUUCUGACACCUCAGCGUAAGUAAGAAGUCGGAUCGAGAUCUAAUUAAGUGGCUUUUGAAAUGUGUUAAGGUAAUAAGGCAGACUUAGUCCUGGCUGUAGCACCUAUCUGUGAAGAACCUCACACUAAAGUGCAGUUCACUGUGCCACUGCGUGAAAUUACACUAAAAAAGGCUUUUUUUUUUCUCCCCCUCGUGCGCGCUCAUGAACACGCGUUCACGUUUGGCAGCUCCACGUCGACAUUCUUCCAGCUGCAUAUAGUGAACUGCACAGGACUCGGGGAAGAAAAGGUAAAAGCGGCGGUAGCCACCUUUCGAUCAGAGCGCUGCAAGUCCGCAGACGGACACCAACCGCAGAGAAAACAGGCGAUUGCACUUGAAUCCAGCUAUGGCCUGCAAUGUCCUGAGAUCGCUUUCUGCUUUUGCAUUUUAUGAUCCAGACUAUUUGCCCCUCGUGUUGGAUUGCAGCUGGUCCCUUGCGUCUACCUAUAUCAGGUUAAAGGAGCACCCAGUCAUGAGGAGGAUAAGGUUCUGCACAAGGACAAACCUAUGAGGUGGCACUGCGGCUUUCCAAAUAAAGUUCUGUGAUACACUUAGACUCUUAAUUGCUCGCAGUCAGUGCAUUACAGAACUUUGUUUUGGGAGUUAAUACUUUAACCUGUGGGAAAUAAAUCCUCAAACAUCUGGACAUUUCAGUUUACAGCAUGGUGCGAUAUUCCUGUUGACAAAUGACUGUUUUCUCAAAUAAAAUUUCUCUCUGUUUUAAGCA
Long non-coding RNA from Siniperca chuatsi (mandarin fish), 844 nucleotides. RefSeq lists it as uncharacterized. The record is from RefSeq and is a predicted model, not a curated record. The transcript has 2 exons. Lineage: Eukaryota; Metazoa; Chordata; Actinopteri; Centrarchiformes; Sinipercidae.